This is a non-coding RNA of Camellia sinensis, 284 nucleotides long. The record is from RefSeq and is a predicted model, not a curated record. NCBI's taxonomy places the organism in Eukaryota, Viridiplantae, Streptophyta, Magnoliopsida, Ericales, Theaceae.
UGUGAGAGAGGGAGAGAGUGUUCCAGGCACUUAGUUGCUGGGAAAUAAAAUAAAAUGGGGGAGUUGCUCUAUGUCAAGGAGAGAAAGAUGGAGCUCAAGGAAGCAUGGGUUUAAAGAAAGGAAAGGGAAAAUUCAAAGGAAAUUCACCACUCAAGAACUCUAGGUCACGCGCCAUUGUCUGCCUGAUUUAUCUGAUAUGUUCAGUCCGUCUAAUUUGCUUCUGCGGCUAUCUGUGAUCAGGCACGUAGCCAGGCUUAGAGGCAUCUGCCUAGAAUCUGUUUUUG